GAUGAACGCUAGCUACAGGCUUAACACAUGCAAGUCGAGGGGAAACGGCAUUGAGUGCUUGCACUGAAUGGACGUCGACCGGCGCACGGGUGAGUAACGCGUAUCCAACCUUCCCAUUACUGUGGGAUAACCUGCCGAAAGGCAGACUAAUACCUCAUAGUCUUCGAUGACGGCAUCAGAUUUGAAGUAAAGAUUUAUCGGUAAUGGAUGGGGAUGCGUCUGAUUAGCUUGUUGGCGGGGUAACGGCCCACCAAGGCAACGAUCAGUAGGGGUUCUGAGAGGAAGGUCUCCCACAUUGGAACUGAGACACGGUCCAAACUCCUACGGGAGGCAGCAGUGAGGAAUAUUGGUCAAUGGACGGAAGUCUGAACCAGCCAAGUAGCGUGCAGGAUGACGGCUCUAUGGGUUGUAAACUGCUUUUGUAUGGGGAUAAAGUCAAUCACGUGUGAUUGUUUGCAGGUACCAUACGAAUAAGGACCGGCUAAUUCCGUGCCAGCAGCCGCGGUAAUACGGAAGGUUCGGGCGUUAUCCGGAUUUAUUGGGUUUAAAGGGAGCGUAGGCCGGAGAUUAAGUGUGUUGUGAAAUGUAGACGCUCAACGUCUGAAUUGCAGCGCAUACUGGUUUCCUUGAGUACGCACAACGUUGGCGGAAUUCGUCGUGUAGCGGUGAAAUGCUUAGAUAUGACGAAGAACUCCGAUUGCGAAGGCAGCUGACGGGAGCGCAACUGACGCUUAAGCUCGAAGGUGCGGGUAUCAAACAGG
RNAcentral lists this ribosomal RNA (761 nucleotides) under Prevotella melaninogenica. RNAcentral's name for it is "bacterial SSU rRNA". It matches the Rfam family "Bacterial small subunit ribosomal RNA", at positions 28 to 776 of the family's 1533-position model. Lineage: Bacteria; Pseudomonadati; Bacteroidota; Bacteroidia; Bacteroidales; Prevotellaceae. The record is from RNAcentral.